Molecule: long non-coding RNA, 1240 nt
Organism: Gossypium arboreum
Lineage: Eukaryota; Viridiplantae; Streptophyta; Magnoliopsida; Malvales; Malvaceae
Exons: 4
Source: RefSeq, a predicted model, not a curated record
CCUGCUGGCCUAGUGGUAAGUAAUGUGUGGUGUGUGCCUAGGGGUCUUGAGUUCGAGCCUUCUGUGCGCUAAGGUGUUUUAUUUUGCUGCCUUGCAAUGUAAGAAGUAGAGAUUGACCGAAACUCUGAUGUUGGAGUGGUUGAGUGGGGAUGAAUAGCCAAAUUUGGGGAGAGUUUGGUGGGAGUAGAUAGGGGAGUAAUUGGUUGAGAGAUGUGGGGAGGUUUUUGAGGAGAAAGUUAAGGAGUUGGAGAGUGUGGGAGUGUAGUGCCGAAUGAGGACUCUCCUCAAUUGUUUGGUGUGAGUAGUGCACCUAGUCAUUCGGCUAUAUUCUUAGUGCCGAAAAUGUAAUCUAGUGCUCUCCAUUUUGGGUAAUCGUCAUUUGUCUUCUGUCUACUUUUCAUGUUUUUCCCUCUUUCGGUUAUUGUUUUGCUUGGUAGCCAUAUGUUCUGGUGACCACUCGGGGCAUUCUGCAUACUAGCCUGUUGUGGUUUUGUCUUCAAGGAGCUGAACCCCUCUGUAACUCUCUCAACUCUUAUCGUGUUUCGGCUUUUGAAGUGGGUUCUUGAGCAUUAGGUUAAGGGUUAGGGCAACAAGAUUGUUACAUCUCGUGCAUCGGGAUUAAGGUGUGCUUUGGGACAUUUUCCGAAUACUGCUAACCCUCGCUCUUAGUCUACGAGUUUGGUAGCCUCUAAGGAUUGAAAAAGGGGUUGCUGGCAACGGUUUGUGGAUCGAUCAAAGCAAGGGGACGCCGAUUUUCAUGAAAAUAUAAACAAAGGUUUUUCUGAAAACAUCACGCUCACGCAACACGUUUUAAAAGCUUUCGUACCAAAUACGGUUUUAAAGUUAAUAAUAAACUGGUUGAAGUGGUAUUUUACCUAAAUAACUUGAGUUUUACAAUGAGCUAGACCUUCUAACCUUUUGUUAAGAAUCUAAAGAAGUGUUUAUAAAAAAUAGAUUUUUCAUCAAUUAGUGUUUUGGAAAAACACUCGAAUGUGACAUCACAGAUUCGGCCAUAACGUCUAGGCCGGGUUUGGGGUGUUACAUAUGGAUUGACGAUAAGGAUCUAUACCUUAAAAUUCUCCUCCACUAUCAUUGUAAAAUGAAGUUAUUUUCCUUGGAAAAGAUUUCUACCAACAAAUUGAUUGGAUGUCAUUUUUAGUUCUUGGAGUGUAUAACCAAAUAUACCUGGUGUAUUAAUCAACAAAAAGGUAGUAAUAAAAUUUUUUAUCUACUGAUAAAA